This 565-nucleotide long non-coding RNA is filed under the name Neogobius melanostomus (round goby). RNAcentral describes it as "lncRNA (ENSNMLG00000014527.1)". Lineage: Eukaryota; Metazoa; Chordata; Actinopteri; Gobiiformes; Gobiidae. The record is from RNAcentral.
CGACAGAACACCACCUCUGCUGUGACGCGUUCAAAGUUUCUAUUCUCCAUCCACUCUUUAAGUUUCGUUUUCUGCCUGAUGAAACUGGCUCAGCUGUGAGUGUCGCCACCGUCAGUGCAGAGAUGUUGUCCUGGGAGAGCAGAGCGCGCGGGGCUUCAGGUUAAAAGACGGUACUUUUGUCUCACGGGACGGGGACGGGGUGACCCUCUUAGCCCUGGGGAGCAACCACAGUCCCGUCACGGAUCUGUGCGUGGGACACCGGCUGCUCUCGUACGUCAGAGGGGACGGGAGCGCGUUCAUCAUCCGCAGUAACCGGGGCAGCGACGGGACAUGGGUCAGAGGGAAACAGAAGCGUGUGGAGUGGAAGGAGAAGGUCCGGUCCGUGAGCUGCACAGAGGACACGCUCGUCCUGCUGUCCAAUCACGGACAUGUGUUCUGUGUCCUGCCUCACGUCAAGCCGAGACCAUUUGAAGUUUUCCGCGGUGUGUCAGUCACGCAGAUCUCGUGUGGGAGCCAGCAUUGCCUCGCCCUGACUAAAGGUGUGUGAAGAGUUGGAACAUUAGCA